RNAcentral lists this ribosomal RNA (974 nucleotides) under Campylobacter coli. Its description in RNAcentral is "partial 23S ribosomal RNA". It matches the Rfam family "Bacterial large subunit ribosomal RNA", at positions 1315 to 2268 of the family's 2925-position model. The record is from RNAcentral. Lineage: Bacteria; Pseudomonadati; Campylobacterota; Epsilonproteobacteria; Campylobacterales; Campylobacteraceae.
AUUAAUGUGAGAAUCAUUAACGCCGUAAACCCAAGGUUUCCUACGCGAUGCUCGUCAUCGUAGGGUUAGUCGGGUCCUAAGCCGAGUCCGAAAGGGGUAGGCGAUGGCAAAUUGGUUAAUAUUCCAAUACCAACAUUAGUGUGCGAUGGAAGGACGCUUAGGGCUAAGGGGGCUAGCGGAUGGAAGUGCUAGUCUAAGGUCGUAGGAGGUUAUACAGGCAAAUCCGUAUAACAAUACUCCGAGAACUGAAAGGCUUUUUGAAGUCUUCGGAUGGAUAGAAGAACCCCUGAUGCCGUCGAGCCAAGAAAAGUUUCUAAGUUUAGCUAAUGUUGCCCGUACCGUAAACCGACACAGGUGGGUGGGAUGAGUAUUCUAAGGCGCGUGGAAGAACUCUCUUUAAGGAACUCUGCAAAAUAGCACCGUAUCUUCGGUAUAAGGUGUGGUUCGCUUCGUACUAGGAUUUACUCCGAAAGCGAAGAAACUUACAACAAAGAGUCCCUCCCGACUGUUUACCAAAAACACAGCACUCUGCUAACUCGUAAGAGGAUGUAUAGGGUGUGACGCCUGCCCGGUGCUCGAAGGUUAAUUGAUGGGGUUAGCAUUAGCGAAGCUCUUGAUCGAAGCCCGAGUAAACGGCGGCCGUAACUAUAACGGUCCUAAGGUAGCGAAAUUCCUUGUCGGUUAAAUACCGACCUGCAUGAAUGGCGUAACGAGAUGGGAGCUGUCUCAAAGAGGGAUCCAGUGAAAUUGUAGUGGAGGUGAAAAUUCCUCCUACCCGCGGCAAGACGGAAAGACCCCGUGGACCUUUACUACAGCUUGACACUGCUACUUGGAUAAGAAUGUGCAGGAUAGGUGGGAGGCUUUGAGUAUAUGACGCCAGUUGUAUAUGAGCCAUUGUUGAGAUACCACUCUUUCUUAUUUGGGUAGCUAACCAGCUUGAGUUAUCCUCAAGUGGGACAAUGUCUGGUGGGUAG